RNAcentral lists this ribosomal RNA (503 nucleotides) under uncultured bacterium. RNAcentral describes it as "bacterial SSU rRNA". It matches the Rfam family "Bacterial small subunit ribosomal RNA", at positions 28 to 517 of the family's 1533-position model. The record is from RNAcentral.
GACGAACGCUGGCGGCGUGGAUUAGGCAUGCAAGUCGAACGGUAGGAUCCUUUCGGGGAUCUGAGAGUGGCGAACGGGUGAGUAACACGUAGGUGAUCUACCCUCAAGACGGGGACAACCCAGGGAAACUUGGGCUAAUACCGGAUGUGAGCUAUCGCGAGAUAGUUUGAAAGGUGGCUUCGGCUGCCGCUUGAGGAUGAGCCUGCGUCCUAUUAGCUAGUUGGUGAGGUAACGGCUCACCGAGGCAGUGAUAGGUAGGCGGCCUUAACGGGUGGUCGCCCACACUGGGAUUGAGAUACGGCCCAGACUCCUACGGGAGGCAGCAGUCGAGAAUAGUCUACAAUGGUCGAAAGACUGAUAGUGCGACGCCGCGUGAACGAAGAAGCCCUUGGGGUGUAAAGUUCUUUUAUAUGUGAGCAGUGACACCCAUAUUAAUAGUAUGGGUGUAGAGAUAUUAGACAGUUAUGAAUAAGCAACGGCUAACUCCGUGCCCAGCCAGCCCG